RNAcentral lists this ribosomal RNA (253 nucleotides) under uncultured bacterium. RNAcentral's name for it is "partial 16S ribosomal RNA". It matches the Rfam family "Bacterial small subunit ribosomal RNA", at positions 524 to 776 of the family's 1533-position model. The record is from RNAcentral.
UACAGAGACUGCAAGCGUUAUUCGGAUUCACUGGGCGUAAAGGGCGCGCAGGCGGCCAAGUGUGUGAGGCGUGAAAGCCCGAUGCUCAACAUCGGAACUGCACCUCAAACUACAUGGCUAGAGCAUUGGAGAGGGUAGCGGAAUUCACGGUGUAGCAGUGAAAUGCGUAGAUAUCGUGAGGAACACCAGAGGCGAAGGCGGCUACCUGGACAAUUGCUGACGCUCAGGCACGAAAGCGUGGGGAGCAAAAGGG